Molecule: ribosomal RNA, 486 nt
Filed under: uncultured bacterium
Lineage: Bacteria
Description: bacterial SSU rRNA
Rfam family: Bacterial small subunit ribosomal RNA
Source: RNAcentral
AACGAACGCUGGCGGCAUGCCUUACACAUGCAAGUCGAACGGCAGCACGGGAGCUUGCUCCUGGUGGCGAGUGGCGAACGGGUGAGUAAUAUAUCGGAACGUACCCUAGAGUGGGGGAUAACGCAGCGAAAGUUGCGCUAAUACCGCAUACGAUCUACGGAUGAAAGUGGGGGAUCGCAAGACCUCAUGCUCAUGGAGCGGCCGAUAUCUGAUUAGCUAGUUGGUGGGGUAAAGGCCUACCAAGGCUUCGAUCAGUAGCUGGUCUGAGAGGACGACCAGCCACACUGGAACUGAGACACGGUCCAGACUCCUACGGGAGGCAGCAGUGGGGAAUUUUGGACAAUGGGCGAAAGCCUGAUCCAGCAAUGCCGCGUGAGUGAAGAAGGCCUUCGGGUUGUAAAGCUCUUUUGUCAGGGAAGAAACGGUGGACUCUAAUACAGAUCACUAAUGACGGUACCUGAAGAAUAAGCACCGGCUAACUACGUG